Molecule: long non-coding RNA, 212 nt
Filed under: Nicotiana benthamiana
Lineage: Eukaryota; Viridiplantae; Streptophyta; Magnoliopsida; Solanales; Solanaceae
Description: long non-coding RNA (NBEN_LNC000830)
Source: RNAcentral
GUGACUAUGGCAGGGCGGUACGCUCUGCUCUCUCGCGACCCCUACUCUAAUAAAAAAACUAAAGGACGCUAUUGAAGAUAGGUCGCCAAACUACGACCGAGAGUUUUGCCUUUUGAAGCGCCAGUCGCGUAGGGCGACCGGGCCAGGGCGAGUUAGAAAGGCUUUGAUGACUCAAGGUUCAUAGUAGGGAAAGGAGAGUGAGGGGAAGAGGG